RNAcentral lists this ribosomal RNA (1348 nucleotides) under metagenome. Its description in RNAcentral is "bacterial LSU rRNA". It matches the Rfam family "Bacterial large subunit ribosomal RNA", at positions 1564 to 2925 of the family's 2925-position model. The record is from RNAcentral.
UGAAUACAAGACACUACGGUGUCAAAGUGGUCUAUGUCAUACUUCCAAGAAAAGUUCGCACUAUCUUAAACAAUAAAUGCCUGUACCCGAAACCGACACAGGUAGGUAGGUAGAGUAUACCAAGGGGCGCGAGAUAACUCUCUCUAAGGAACUCGGCAAAAUAGCCCCGUAACUUCGGGAGAAGGGGUACCCUUACAGGGUUGCAAUAACCAGGCCCAAGCGACUGUUUACCAAAAACACAGGUCUCCGCUGAGUCGCAAGACGAUGUAUGGGGGCUGACGCCUGCCCAGUGCUGGAAGGUUAAAGAAGUUGGUUAGCGCAAGCGAAGCUAGCGACUGAAGCCCCAGUGAACGGCGGCCGUAACUAUAACGGUCCUAAGGUAGCGAAAUUCCUUGUCGGGUAAGUUCCGACCCGCACGAAAGGCGUAACGAUUUGGGCACUGUCUCAGAGAGAGACUCGGCGAAAUAGACAUGUCUGUGAAGAUGCGGACUACCUGCACCUGGACAGAAAGACCCUAUGAAGCUUUACUGUAGCUUGAAAUUGGGUUCGGGCUUUUUCUGCGCAGAAUAGGUGGGAGGCUAUGAUAACAUUCUUGCGGGAGUGUUGGAGCCGUCAGUGAGAUACCACUCUGAACAAGUUAGAAUUCUAACCUUAUAUUGCCGUUAUCCGGCUAAGGGACAGUUUCUGGUGGGCAGUUUGACUGGGGCGGUCGCCUCCUAAAAGGUAACGGAGGCGUGCAAAGGUUCCCUCAGGCUGGUCGGAAAUCAGUCGUAGAGUGUAAAGGCAUAAGGGAGCCUGACUGCAAGACUUACAAGUCGAGCAGAGACGAAAGUCGGCCUUAGUGAUCCGGCAGUACCGAGUGGAAGGGCUGUCGCUCAACGGAUAAAAGUUACUCUAAGGAUAACAGGCUGAUCUCCCCCAAGAGUUCACAUCGACGGGGAGGUUUGGCACCUCGAUGUCGGCUCAUCGCAUCCUGGGGCGGUAGUACGUCCCAAGGGUUGGGCUGUUCGCCCAUGAAAGCGGUACGCGAGCUGGGUUCAGAACGUCGUGAGACAGUUCGGUCCAUAUCCGGUGUAGGCGUUAGAGUAUUGAGAAGAUUUCUCCUUAGUACGAGAGGACCGGGAGAGACAUACCUCUGGUGUACCAGUUAUUGUGCCAACAGUAAACGCUGGGUAGCUAAGUAUGGAAAGGAUAACCGCUGAAGGCAUCUAAGCGGGAAGCCCACUUCAAGAUGAGUACUCUCACUAUUUUAAAUAGUUAAGGUCACGGUAAGAUUAACCGUUUGAUAGGCAUCAAGUAUAAGUGUAGUAAUAUAUUAAGCUGAGAUGUACUAAUAGAUCGAAGACUU